This 3257-nucleotide long non-coding RNA is filed under the name Canis lupus familiaris (dog). RNAcentral's name for it is "lncRNA (ENSCAFG00000053069.1, ENSCAFG00845018059.1)". Lineage: Eukaryota; Metazoa; Chordata; Mammalia; Carnivora; Canidae. The record is from RNAcentral.
GGCUCAGAGACGCUCCUCUGGAAUCCGAAGGCUGCUGGGUGAAAGAGUCCUUCUCUGACAUCUGGCACCCCGCACGGGUGUCGGUGUCUGUGUGUGGCGGGGCGUGCGUGUGAGUCUGUGCCCUUCCCAGAGCCAAGCCUCGCAGGGGGCACGGCGAAGCCACUCAGGGCCGGGCCGCCCAGGCCGGGGCUGCGGAGUGAGCCCGUCUCCCUUCCCCGCAGCAGAGCCUCUCCCUGCUGGGCCAGGCUAACGAGUCCUCAGGUUGGCUGGGGAACUCUGCUCCAUAUCAUCCUUAAUCAAGGAGCCAGAGCUCAAGAAGGUCAAGGAACUCCUGAUCUCCACUUUAAGGCUUCUUAACGUGAAGCUGGUGUCCUGCAAGUGAUAGUUCCUAACGGUAUCAACACCAGUGACUGCUUCUGGUACCCUCGCUCUCAGGUCUUUAGUGGAGGCGUUGCCACAAACGAGUAAGUCAGCAGUGUUACCCUCCGUCCUACUGACCAGCUUCUCCUCCACCUCCAGGGGCACCUCCGGGAGCCCAUCCCCGAGCUCCUGAAUCCAUGUCUGAGGACUUAUCAUCAUGGUGGAUGAGAUUGAAAAACAGGAUCAUAACAGCAGGUGGAGGGUGGAGACAGAUGAGGAUGGCUCUAGGUGAACAGGAGCCCAAGGCCUGGAGGGAGUGGUCCAGCCUGGGCAGUACCCCAGCGGGGUAGGGGGGCAGGUAGGGAACAGGCAGAAAAGGAGAGUUCUUUCUAUCUUGCAAAACAAACUCCAUGCCCUUAGACAACAGAUUCCCAGUGCUCCCUCCCCGCAGCCCCUGGCAAACACCAUUCUGCUUUCUGUCUCUAUGAUUUCGACUAUUGUAUGUGUCACCUAUGAAUGGAAACAUACAGUUGUCCUUUUGUGACUGCCUGAUUUCACUUAGCACAACGUCCUGAACUUUCAUCCAUGUUGUGACAUGUGUCAACAUUUCCUUCCUCUUUAAGGCUGAAUACUAUUCCAUUGUACGUAUAAACCAUAUUGUGUUUUUCCAUUGAACCAUUGAUGGACACUUGGGUUGCUUCCAUGUUCUGGCUGCUGUGAAUAACGCUAUGAUGAAUAUUAGGUGCUCUUUUCAAGAUUGUUUUGACUGAUUUGUGGGGUUUUUUAAAAAAGAUUUUAUGUAUUUAUUUGAGAGAGAGAGAGAGCACAAGUCGGAGGGAGGGCUAGUGGGAGAAGCAGACCCCCACUGAGCAGGGAGCCCAAUGCAGGGCUCGAUCCCAGGACCCCGGGAUCAUGACUUCAGCCAAAGGCAGAUGUUUACCCGACUGAGCCACCCAAGUGCCCCGACCUAUUUGUAUUUUAAAUGGUGGGAUAUUUUAAGAACCCAAGAAAGCCAGUGAGAGCUAUUUUAGGUAGAAACAGGCUUAGCGUCCCCUGCAUCAAGCCAUGUUGCCUGCCAACAGGACUGCCCUCAGAUGCACAUUUUAUCUAGUAUCAUGUAUUUUUCAUUUCAUCACUGAAAAUGAUAAAAAGUUGUACCCAGUAGGGAGAGAAUAUAUAAACACUGAACUUCCCAAGCCAGUUGACCAUGGGAAUUUUGACAAUGGUGAUUUAUCAGACAGUGACUUUGGGAGGUGACAGGAUGCAGCAGGAACAAACAGGUGGCUUUGGCAUCAAACCCGGCAAACAUCUUUCCCCACAUGGGUUUUAAACACCUUCCUGACCUGAGUUUCAGGGUUCUUAUUGAUUCCCAUUUACCCCUGAGCUCUCCUGUGUCUUCAACUCUUAGUUACUCCCCAUCAGCACUGCAACAUGCUCAAGCCUUUAACAAAACAAAAUGGCAAGAUAAAAGCACAACCACUCCUUUGAGCCCUGUCUCUCUUUGCCUCCCAGCCUCUCUCUCUUCCCCCUGGAAGACUGUCUUCCCCCAUCUACUUUCACAUCCCACUCCAAUUCACUCCUAAACCCAUUGUGCUCUGGCUUCUGCCCCUAUGCUCUUCUUCUGAGUUUUAUUUAUUUAUUUAUAUAAUUAAAAAAUUUUUAAAAAUUUAUUCAUGAGCAAUACACAGAGAGAGAGUCAGAGACACAGGCAGAGGGAGAAGCAGGCUCCAUGCAGGGAGCCCAAUACGAGACUCGAUCCUGGGACUCCAGGAUCACGUCCUGAGAUGCAGGCCGGUGCUCAACCACUGAGCCACCUAGGAUUCCCCUUCUUCUAGGUUCUAAUGUGACCUUGCUGGGCCUCCUGGUCUGAGCUCGUGAUGGGUCUGAGUCUCAGCUCCAAUUCAAGGCAGCAAGAGCACUGCACCCUGAGAAGUCCUGGCAUGCAGCUUCAGAGGCAAUCCCUAGAACACCAAGAAUAUAUAUAUAGUGACUGCCUGAUUUCACUUAGCACAGUGUCCUCAACUUUCAUCCAUGUUGUGACAUGUGUCAACAUUUCCUUCCUCUUUAAGGCUGAAUACUAUUCCAUUGUAUGUAUAAACCAUAUUGCAUUUUUCCAUUGGGCCAUUGAUGGACAUUUGGGUUGCUUCUACCAUCUGGCUGUUGUGAAUAAUGCUAUGAUGAACAUUAGGGUAUAAAUAUGACCAUAUGUGUGUGUGUGUGUGUGUGUGUGUGUGUGUGUGUGUAUUUUCCCCAUUAAGGUAUAUGGUAACCCAGGUAAGGUGUAUGAUCUAUGGAACUGCAUCCUUACUAAUGCAGAAACAAGAACAACAUUUGCAAAACAUCUUCCAGACAGUGGAGCCUCAAGGUCAGGGGAUCAACUCUAUCAUCCAACACACCUGGAGUGACCCUCCCAGCUCUGCCAUUUGCUAUCUGGGAGACCUUGGGCAAGUUCCUUCAAUUCUCUCUGCCUCCUCACCUCGCCUCAAAAAUGGCCAUGGCAAUAGCAGGCACCACAAGGAACUAUUAGAAGAAGUGAGCAAGACCAUGUGUGUCAGGUGCUAAGUGCAGUUCAUGGCCCAUAGGAAGCAUUUCAUAAGGAAUAGCUCUCAUGACUACUUUUUAUCUAAGCCCAUCUCAAUUUUCACACCUCUAAGAUGGGAAUGAACAAAUGUGGUAAGACUAAGGGUUUGUUACAAAAUUCUCUAGAGAGUCAUUGGUUUCCUGAGUGAUCAGAAACAUUUCAGGGGCACCUGUGUGGCUCAGUCUGUUGAGCAUCUGACUCUUGAUCUCUGCUCAGGUCCUGAUCUUGGGGUUGUGAGUUCAGGCCCUCUGCAUUGGGUUCCAUGCUGGGUGUGGAGCCUGCUUAAGAGGGAGAGAGAGAGAGAGAGAGAGAGAGA